AGAAUGAACGCUGGCGGCGCGCCUAAUACAUGCAAGUCGAGCGAGAAGACGUAGCAAUACGUUUGUAAAGCGGCGAACGGGUGAGGAAUACAUGGGUAACCUACCCUUGAGUGGGGAAUAACUAGCCGAAAGGUUAGCUAAUACCGCGUACGCUUCUUGGACUUCGGUUCAGGGAGGAAAGCGAUGCCGAGGGUAUCGCGCUCUUGGAUGGGCUCAUGUCCUAUCAGCUUGUUGGUGAGGUAACGGCUCACCAAGGCUUCGACGGGUAGCUGGUCUGAGAGGACGAUCAGCCACACUGGCACUGCGACACGGGCCAGACUCCUACGGGAGGCAGCAGUAAGGAUAUGCGCAAUGGGCGAAAGCCUGACGCAGCGACGCCGCGUGGGGGAUGAAGGUCUUCGGAUUGUAAACCCUUUGGGAGGAAGAGUGGAAGUGGGUAACCCAGUUCGGACGGUACCUCCAGAAGCAGCCACGGCUAACUCGUGCCAGCAGCCG
RNAcentral lists this ribosomal RNA (495 nucleotides) under uncultured soil bacterium. RNAcentral's name for it is "bacterial SSU rRNA". It matches the Rfam family "Bacterial small subunit ribosomal RNA", at positions 26 to 517 of the family's 1533-position model. The record is from RNAcentral.